RNAcentral lists this ribosomal RNA (497 nucleotides) under uncultured bacterium. Its description in RNAcentral is "partial 16S ribosomal RNA". It matches the Rfam family "Bacterial small subunit ribosomal RNA", at positions 28 to 507 of the family's 1533-position model. The record is from RNAcentral.
GAUGAACGCUGGCGGCGUGCCUAAUACAUGCAAGUCGAGCGAACAGACGAGGAGCUUGCUCCUCUGACGUUAGCGGCGGACGGGUGAGUAACACGUGGAUAACCUACCUAUAAGACUGGGAUAACUUCGGGAAACCGGAGCUAAUACCGGAUAAUAUAUUGAACCGCAUGGUUCAAUAGUGAAAGACGGUUUUGCUGUCACUUAUAGAUGGUUCCGCGCCGCAUUAGCUAGUUGGUAAGGUAACGGCUUACCAAGGCAACGAUGCGUAGCCGACCUGAGAGGGUGAUCGGCCACACUGGAACUGGAACACGGUCCAGACUCCUACGGGAGGCAGCAGUAGGGAAUCUUACGCAAUGGGCGAAAGCAUGACGGAGCAACGCCGCGUGAGUGAUGAAGGUCUUCGGAUCGUAAAACUCUGUUAUUAGGGAAGAACAAAUGUGUAAGUAACUAUGCACGUCUUGACGGUACCUAAUCAGAAAGCCACGGCUAACUACGUG